CCCACCGUUGAAACGGUGGGCUAUUUUCAUUUAAUCCCUUCGGGAUU
This 47-nucleotide small RNA is filed under the name Caldithrix abyssi DSM 13497. RNAcentral describes it as "Acido-Lenti-1 RNA". It matches the Rfam family "Acido-Lenti-1 RNA". The record is from Rfam by way of RNAcentral. Lineage: Bacteria; Pseudomonadati; Calditrichota; Calditrichia; Calditrichales; Calditrichaceae.